GGGGAAUAUUGGACAAUGGGCGAAAGCCUGAUCCAGCCAUGCCGCGUGUGUGAAGAAGGUCUUCGGAUUGUAAAGCACUUUAAGUUGGGAGGAAGGGCUGCAAGUUAAUACCUUGUAGUUUUGACGUUACCAGCAGAAUAAGCACCGGCUAACUUCGUGCCAGCAGCCGCGGUAAUACGAAGGGUGCAAGCGUUAAUCGGAAUUACUGGGCGUAAAGCGCGCGUAGGUGGUUUGGUAAGAUGGAUGUGAAAUCCCCGGGCUCAACCUGGGAACUGCAUCCAUAACUGCCUGACUAGAGUACGGUAGAGGGUGGUGGAAUUUCCUGUGUAGCGGUGAAAUGCGUAGAUAUAGGAAGGAACACCAGUGGCGAAGGCAGCCUCCUGGGAUAACACUGACGCUCAUGCACGAAAGCGUGGGGAGCAAACA
RNAcentral lists this ribosomal RNA (426 nucleotides) under uncultured Pseudomonadaceae bacterium. RNAcentral describes it as "bacterial SSU rRNA". It matches the Rfam family "Bacterial small subunit ribosomal RNA", at positions 356 to 774 of the family's 1533-position model. The record is from RNAcentral. Lineage: Bacteria; Pseudomonadati; Pseudomonadota; Gammaproteobacteria; Pseudomonadales; Pseudomonadaceae.